GUGGGGAAUAUUGGACAAUGGGCGAAAGCCUGAUCCAGCCAUGCCGCGUGUGUGAAGAAGGUCUUCGGAUUGUAAAGCACUUUAAGUUGGGAGGAAGGGCAGUAAGUUAAUACCUUGCUGUUUUGACGUUACCGACAGAAUAAGCACCGGCUAACUUCGUGCCAGCAGCCGCGGUAAUACGAAGGGUGCAAGCGUUAAUCGGAAUUACUGGGCGUAAAGCGCGCGUAGGUGGUUUUGUAAGUUGGAGGUGAAAUCCCCGGGCUCAACCUGGGAGGUGCCUCCAAAACUGCAUGACUAGAGUACGGUAGAGGGUAGUGGAAUUUCCUGUGUAGCGGUGAAAUGCGUAGAUAUAGGAAGGAACACCAGUGGCGAAGGCGACUACCUGGACUGAUACUGACACUGAGGUGCGAAAGCGUGGGGAGCAAACAGGAUUAGAAACCCGGGUAUCC
RNAcentral lists this ribosomal RNA (449 nucleotides) under uncultured bacterium. Its description in RNAcentral is "partial 16S ribosomal RNA". It matches the Rfam family "Bacterial small subunit ribosomal RNA", at positions 354 to 795 of the family's 1533-position model. The record is from RNAcentral.